UUCAUUCUCUCGCCCCCAUCUCUCCCAUCUGUUCUCUUUCUAGGCACCGUCGACGCCAUCGUCCACCAGGGCCGACGCUUGGCAAGCCAGCAGAUGGCGGCGAGUAGGACCUCCGUCGACGGGACAAGCCAGCAGCGCAGUGGAGAAGCCCCGCGUACAUAUCUCCAUUGCGAGCAGAUGGCGGCGCGGAGGCCUCAGAGCGCCCUUCUCUCCCACCCGAAACAUUGCCGGAGCCUACACGGCCGUCCUCGUGUAUCCCACUAUGCCAUGUCUCUUGCCCCAUUCCCAAGCCUCCUGCCCUGGUCUCCUCCCCGUCCCGAUUUCCCCAGAUGUGGAGGUUGACUAGCUGUGGGGAACACCGAGAGCCCUCGCCGACGUUUUCGAUGCUGAUGUGGAGGUUCGUGCGCGGAGUCUUCGCCGGCGGCCGUCUUCCACGGGAACGGGCCGAUGCGCCGCCAGCCCGUGACGCGGAGGGAUGGAGGCCGAGGAGUGCCACAGUCUGCGUGCCGGAGGGUUUCGCGAGGCCGGCCAUUGGCCUCCAUGGCCAUGAGCUGAUGGUUUAGCUCCAUCUUCAUGGACCUCCUCCUCCCUCGAGCGGCCCUUCACGGGCCUCCUACUCCCUCGAGCGGCCGCCCAACCCCACCUUUUUCAGUCCCAAUUCUCCCCGCCGCGAGGCUGUCGUGGACUGAGUCGGCUGCUCCCGGACGCCGGGGACAGAAUCCCCUGCCGCGGCUUCCCCGCCGUAAUUACCUCACAUGGAUGGCAGCCCUGGACGGCAGCAGUCCCGCUGCCUACUCACUUUGCUUCUCCACAUAUCUGCUUUUAUUUUCUCCUCCGAUCUCCUCGGUGUAGACUGUAGACUGUAGAUCAGGCCCUGAUUCAUGCCCUCCGUUCAUCUUCUUUGUCUUGCAUCUUCAUCAAUAUUUUCUUCGCGUGGCCAUCUUGAGGGUUGGCGUCCUCCGCUAUCGAGCCGGACAGCCCUGGAGACGGAGUAUUGUAGGACGGUUAGGCCUCUUGUCGUUGGACGACAAAGGUGGUGCAGAUCCCCUGCUCCGGGGUGGGCUGCUUUUUUCCGCGCCACCUUCGCGCUUACUUGAGGCUUUAUGGCUUAUGGACUUCAGGAUGAUAAACACAUGAAAAUCUCAGACAUGAUUCUGCACUGCAGGCUGCAUAUUGUGUCGGUGGGCAUUCAGGAAACUGGCAAGUUAUUCAGAACUCAAUUCUUGGAUGUUACUUGCGUCGUCCUACUCUGAAUCGGCAUCAUCGAGCUCCAUACAUCCACAUGCUCUAAGUCAGCCAGAGCCCAUUGCCCAGUUUAGUCUUUCCCCUGGAUCAUUUUCAGAUCCACCUUUAAGUUAUACAACCAAUCGUAACGUUUCAACUGCAAAAUGACCACAUUAUCUCACUGUAAGAAAUAUCUGCAUUUUUAAAUAUGAAGUGAUCACAUUAUUAUUAAUCUAUAAAGCCUCUCCAGGUAAAGUUAUACACACCUAAGGGACCAUAUCAUCAACUAGAUCAAGACAAGACUGAAUUCGUUGGAGCUAACGGUAUGGAGCAUGCUUGAAGCCCAGUGAGAAGAAAUGAGAAAAUUUCUCAGGAGGGAGAACAUGCUUGAAUGUUGCCGUGUAAGUCUUCUUUCAGAUACAAUGUACACAUGGAUUUGGGUGAGUACACAGUGCGUCUUUCUUUCUCAAAUUGUGCUUGCUUGAACGUUGUUUGCUGGUUUCGGCAGCUUUUGUCCAUGGCUUCCAUGCGUGUGUGCACAUGAAUUGGGGUGAGUACACACUACACCUUUCUUUCCCAAAUUGUGGUAGCUUGGACAUUGUUUGCUGGCUUCGGCUGCUAUCGCCCAUGGCUUCCAUGCGUGCAACCGUACCAGUCGCUCUGUCCGGUGGUGUAAUCGGAGACAGUGCGCACAACAAGUCAACAACUAGCUAAACUGAUAUGCUAAUUAAAGUAAUAUGGUUCUGCUAACUUUUCUAUGUGCUAAUGUAAUUAAUCUUCCAAAGGGAAGUAUGAAAGAAACAAAAGAAUAAACUAUAAAGAGGAAAGGCAUAUGAUCCAGAUCCUUCUAAGGCGUGAACAUGACAGUUGCUGGUUCUACCGCCACAUUGCCUAGCUAGCCAUGAACAACUACUAAUUCCAAUUAUUGUUCAUGCCCGAAGUUGAAGUUCAAGAUGCACCUCUAUUUAUGUCCGACCAAUUCCAGGGUGAGGGAUUUUCCUACCAGUUCAAUAUGUCCAAAGUGAAGAAAGAAAAGAGAAGUGAGAAAUGCGCAAACGUACACUUUCAAUUGCCAUGGUCUGCUGAAUUGAUUAAUUUGUUGAAAGGUAAGGUUCUUCAGAUGAAUUGUUCCCAAAUGUAAUUGCAUUAUGUAUUCUUCUCACAAUAUUUUAGGUUCAACUUGCAAAAUAUUAUUCAGCAUGAUUGUAAGAAAUUUAUAUGUUGGAAAGAUGCUCAUGAAAAGAUAUUCGAAUUAACUGUUGGGAAAUUUCAAUUGCAGGUUUAUAAAAAAUAGAGAUUAAUCAUAACAAAUACUUUUUAAUCCAAGAGUACCUAGGAAGUGUAAUUAUGCCAUGUGAUAUAUCACAAUUUUUUUAAUAUUUUUUUUAGCCAGAAUAUUAGCGAAUCAGAAUUGCCUGUAGUGGAGUAGUAUGAAUUAACAAUAUAGUAGCGACCAGGUUUCCCGACAUGUUCACUGAAUUGCAUGUUUUGUAAUUUCAGGUCAACCAAUGCAAAUUAUUGUUAUGGACCUUCUUGCUAUCGUUUUAGUGGCUCUUAAUAUUGGUGAUGUAAGACGACCUCCUUGCACACUUCAAAGUUCAUUUUUGCUUAUGCCAAGUCGGUCAGACUAACUAAAGGGUGAUUUUUCUUUGUUCUACUGUGGUAAUACAUCCGAGCGGAAUGUAUAACUCUGAACUUUUACAGCCAAGUGAUUUCUUUUUUUCACCUUCAAAAUGGCAGUGUAGUUCUAGAUGUAGUAAAAAAAUAUUGUUGGAACACUUUUGCUCAAUUCACCUCUUACAGAUUGAUGCCAUUUUGAAAGAUUGUUCAAUGGCAAUUGCCCAAACCAUUUGUAUGUAGAAAAUGCAACUCUCUGUUCUUCCUUUAUUGUAACUAGCUAGCUAGAUCAAUUUAUUAUAUCUCUGUUC
Lolium perenne is the source of this 3152-nucleotide non-coding RNA. The record is from RefSeq and is a predicted model, not a curated record. Lineage: Eukaryota; Viridiplantae; Streptophyta; Magnoliopsida; Poales; Poaceae.